Molecule: ribosomal RNA, 492 nt
Filed under: uncultured bacterium
Lineage: Bacteria
Description: partial 16S ribosomal RNA
Rfam family: Bacterial small subunit ribosomal RNA
Source: RNAcentral
AGUGAACGCUGGCGGUAGGCCUAACACAUGCAAGUCGAACGGCAGCACAGUAAGAGCUUGCUCUUACGGGUGGCGAGUGGCGGACGGGUGAGGAAUACAUCGGAAUCUACUUUUUCGUGGGGGAUAACGUAGGGAAACUUACGCUAAUACCGCAUACGACCUACGGGUGAAAGCAGGGGAUCUUCGGACCUUGCGCGAUUGAAUGAGCCGAUGUCGGAUUAGCUAGUUGGCGGGGUAAAGGCCCACCAAGGCGACGAUCCGUAGCUGGUCUGAGAGGAUGAACGGCCACAAUGGAACAGAGACACGGGGCAGACUCCUACGGGAGGCAGCAGUAGGGAAUCUUGAGCAAGGGGCGAAAGUGUGACGGAGCAACGCCGCGUGAGGGAUGACGGUCUUCGGAUCGGAAAACUCUGUUACUAGGGAAGAAGAAAUGUGUAAGGAACUAUGCACGGCGUGACGGUACCUAAGCAGAAAGCAACGGCUAACUACGUG